RNAcentral lists this ribosomal RNA (911 nucleotides) under Echinoderma flavidoasperum. RNAcentral's name for it is "partial large subunit ribosomal RNA". It matches the Rfam family "Eukaryotic large subunit ribosomal RNA", at positions 49 to 947 of the family's 3401-position model. The record is from RNAcentral. Lineage: Eukaryota; Fungi; Basidiomycota; Agaricomycetes; Agaricales; Agaricaceae.
AGCGGAGGAAAAGAAACUAACAAGGAUUCCCCUAGUAACUGCGAGUGAAGCGGGAAAAGCUCAAAUUUGAAAUCUGGCGGUCCUUGGCCGUCCGAGUUGUAAUCUAGAGAAGUGUUACCCGCGCUGGACCGUGUACAAGUCUCCUGGAAUGGAGCGUCAUAGAGGGUGAGAAUCCCGUCUCUGACACGGACUCCCAGGGCUUUGUGGUACGCUCUCAAAGAGUCGAGUUGUUUGGGAAUGCAGCUCAAAAUGGGUGGUAAAUUCCAUCUAAAGCUAAAUAUUGGCGAGAGACCGAUAGCGAACAAGUACCGUGAGGGAAAGAUGAAAAGAACUUUGGAAAGAGAGUUAAACAGUACGUGAAAUUGCUGAAAGGGAAACGCUUGAAGUCAGUCGCGUUGGCCGGGGAUCAGCCUCGCAUUUGCGUGGUGCACUUUCCGGUUGACGGGUCAGCAUCAAUUUCGGCCACUGGAAAAAGUCCUGAGGAAUGUGGCAGCUCCGGCUGUGUUAUAACCUCUGGUCGCAUACAGUGGUUGGGAUUGAGGAACUCAGCACGCCGCAAGGCCGGGUUUCGACCACGUCCGUGCUUAGGAUGCUGGCAUAAUGGCUUUAAGCGACCCGUCUUGAAACACGGACCAAGGAGUCUAACAUGCCUGCGAGUGUUUGGGUGGAAAACCCGAGCGCGCAAUGAAAGUGAAAGUUGAGAUCCCUGUCGUGGGGAGCAUCGACGCCCGGACCAGAACUUUUGGGACGGAUCCGCGGUAGAGCAUGUAUGUUGGGACCCGAAAGAUGGUGAACUAUGCCUGAAUAGGGUGAAGCCAGAGGAAACUCUGGUGGAGGCUCGUAGCGAUUCUGACGUGCAAAUCGAUCGUCAAAUUUGGGUAUAGGGGCGAAAGACUAAUCGAACCAUCUAG